Camellia sinensis is the source of this 3349-nucleotide ribosomal RNA. Lineage: Eukaryota; Viridiplantae; Streptophyta; Magnoliopsida; Ericales; Theaceae. The record is from RefSeq and is a predicted model, not a curated record.
CAACCCCAAGUCAGGCGGGAUUACCUGCUGAGUUUAAACAUAUCAAUAAGCGGAGGAAAAGAAACUUACAAGGAUUCCCUUAGUAAUGGCGAGUGAACCGGGAAGCACCCAGAAUGAAAAUCGAGCAACCCCGUUGUAGAAAUUGUAGUCUAGAGAAGAGUCCUCAGCAGCGUACUGAGCUCAAAUCCUCUGGAGAGGGGCACCGGAGAUGGUGAGAGCCCCGUCGUGCCCAAACCCUGUCACAUCACGGGGUAUUGUCUGCGAGUCGGGUUGUUUAGGAAUGCAACCCUAAUCGGGCGGCAAAUUUCGUCCAAGGCUAAAUAUGGGCGAGAGACCGAUAGUAAACAAGUACCGCGAGGGAAAGGUGAAAAGGACUUUGAAAAGAGAGUUAAAUAAUGCUUGAAAUUGUUGGGAGGGAAGGGGAUGGGAGCGGGCGAUAUGCCCUAGUCGGAUGUGGAACAGCAACUAGCCGGUCCGCCGAUCGACUCCGGUCAUGGAUAGGUGCAGAUUGGGGUGGAGGCCAAAGCCUGGGCAGUCGAAAAGCCCGUAGAGAUGUCUUCUCCUCGAUCAUGGCUGGCAGCGCACGCCCUUGGUGUGCUUCGGCAUCUGCAUGCUUCUGACACCAACCUACGAACUCUGCAUUUGGCCCGUCUUGAAACACGAACCAAGGAGUCUGACAUGUAUGCGAGUCAACGGAUGAGUAAACUCGUAAGGCGCAAGGAAGUUGAUUGACGGGAUCCCCUCGCGGAUUGCACCGUUGAUGGACCUUGAUCUUUUAAGAAGGGUUCAAGUCUGAGCAUACCUAUCGGGACAUGAAAGAUGGUGAACUAUGCCUAAGUGCGGCGAAGCCAGAGGAAACACUGGUGAAGGCCCGCAAUGAUACUAACGUGCAAAUCGUUGGUCUGACUUGGGUAUAGGGGCGAAAGACUAAUCAAACCGUAUAGUAGCUGGUUCCCUCUGAAGUUUCCCUCAGGGUAGUUGGAGCUUGGGUGCGAGUUCUAUCAAGUAAAGCCAAUGAUUAGAGGCAUCGGGGGUUCAACGCCCUUAACCUAUUCUCAAACUUUAAAUAGGUAGGAUGACACGGCUGCUCCUUUGAUCCGCGCCACGAAAUCGAGAGCUCUAAGUGGGCCACUUUUGGUAAGUAGAACUGGCGACACGGGAUGAACCGAAAACCAGGUUACGGUGCCCAACUGUGUGCUAACCUAUAACCCAUAUAGGGUGUUGGUUGAUUAAGAUAGCAGGAUGGUGGCCAUGGAAAUUGAAAUACGCUAAGUAGUGUGUAACAACUCACCUGCCGAAUCCACUAUCCCCGAAAAUGGAUGGUGCUUAAGCACGCAACCUAUACCCGGCCGUCGAGGCAAGUGCCAGGCCCCGAUGAGUAGGAGGGCACAAUGGUCGCUGCAAAACCUUGGGUGCGAAUGGCCAUUGGUGUAGAUCUUGGUGGUAGUAGCAGAUAUUCAAAUGAGAACAUUAAAGGUCGAAGAGGGGAAGGAUUCCAUCUGAACGGCACUUGCAAAUGGGUUAGUCGAUCCUAAGAGUUGGGAGAAGCCCGAUAGAGUGCGUUUUUAACAUGAGCUUUGAAAGGGAAUCGGGUUAAAAUUACUGAACCGAGACAUGGUGGCUGACGGCAAUGUUAGGGAGUCCAGAGACGUUGGUGGAGGCCGUGGGAAGAGUUAUCUUUUCUGUUUAACAGCUUGCCUACCCUGGAAACGGCUCAACCAGAGGUAGGGUCCAUCGACUGGAAGAGCACCGCACGUCGCAUGGUGUCUAGUGCGCCCCUGGCGGCCCUUGAAAAUCCAGAGGAAUGAGUGCCUCCACCCCCGAUCGCACUCAUAACCGCAUCAAGUCUCCAAGGUGAACAUCCUAUAGUCGAUAUAACAAUGUAGGCAAGAGAAGUCGGCAAAAUGGAUCUGUAACUUUGAGAAAAGGAUUGGCUCUGAGGAUAGGGCACGGGAGUCCUAGUCUUGAACCCGUCGGCUUUCAGCGGACUACUUGAGAUGCACCCGCGGUGAGAGCAGGUUGUUGCGUUUUGGUUGGGGGACAGAUUGGGAACAGUUUCUUGCGGGGCCUUCCCUGGGCAGCGAACAAUCGACUCAGAAUUGGUACAAACAAAGUGAAUCCAACUAUUUAAUUAAAACAAAGCAUUGCGAUGGUCCCUACGAAUACUCAUGCAAUGUGAUUUCUACCCAGUGCUCUGAAUGUCAAAGUGAAGAAAUUCAACCAAGUGCGGGUAAACAGCGAGAGUAACUAUGACUCUCUUAAGGUAGCCAAAUGCCUCGUCAUCUAAUUAGUGACGCACAUGAAUGGAUUAACGAGAUUCCCACUAUCCUCGUCUACUAUCCAGUGAAACCAUAGCCAAGGGAAUGGGCUUAGUAGAAUUAGCAGGGAAAGAAGAUCUUGUUGAGCUUGACUCUAGUCCGACUUUGUGAAAUGACUUGCGAGGUGUAGGAUAAGUGGGAGCCAGAAAUGGAAAAAGUGAAAUACCACUACUUUUAACAUUAUUUUACUUAUUCCAUGAAUCGGAGGGAGGGCAUUGCCCCUCUUUUUGGACCCAAGUCCCGCCAUGGGCGGAAGACAUUGUCAGGUGGAGAGUUUGGCCGGGGGCGGUGCAUCUAUUAAAAGAUAAUGCAGGUGUCCUAAGAUAAGCUCAACGAGAACAGAAAUCUCGUGUGGAACAAAAAGGUAAAAGCUCGUUUGAUUUUGAUUUCCAGUACGAAUAUGAAACCCUGAAAGCGUGGCUUAACGAUCCUUUAGACCUUCAGAAUUUGAAGUUAGAUAACUGGCUUGUGGUAACCAAGCGUUCAUAGCGAUGUUGCUUUUUGAUCCUUCGAUGUCGGCUCUUCCUAUCAUUGUUAAGCAGAAUUCACCAAGUGUUGGAUUGUUCACCCACUAAUAGGAAAUGUGAGCUGGGUUUAGACCAUCGUGAGACAGGUUUGUUUUACCCUACUAAUGGCAGCGUCGUAAUAGUAAUUCAACCUAGUAUGAGAGGAACCGUUGAUUCACAUAAUUAGUCAUCGCGAUUAGUUGAAAAGCCAGUGGCGUGAAGCUACCGUGCGAUGGAUUAUGAUUGAACGCCUUUAAGUUAGAAUUCGGGCUAAAAGCGACGCUUGUGCUCGUCGCCCACUUGCCGACCCGCAAUAGGGGUCGUCCGUCCCCUAAAGGCACGUGUUGUUGGUAAAGCUUGCGGAGCAGAUGAGUUAUGCGGGCCCCUUUAAAGUACAAUUCUUAUCUCGAGCAGUGGGUAGAAUCCUUUACAGAUAACUUUAAUACAUGACGGGGUAUUGUAAGUGGUAGAGUGGCCUUGUCGACACGAUCCACUGAGAUUCAAUCCUGUGUCGCUUUGAUUCAU